This is a long non-coding RNA of Cannabis sativa, 561 nucleotides long. RefSeq lists it as uncharacterized. NCBI's taxonomy places the organism in Eukaryota, Viridiplantae, Streptophyta, Magnoliopsida, Rosales, Cannabaceae. The transcript is spliced from 2 exons. The record is from RefSeq and is a predicted model, not a curated record.
UUGAAUCAACAAUAUAGACUUUUUUGUGUACAUAUCUCUAUAAGAUUUUCUCACAUCAAUAUUUAAAGUUUUUUGUUUUAUUAGAAAAGUUGAUUGGAUGUGGGAUGUGACAAAAGUGACAAGCAUUUUAAUCAUUUUUAUAGUUUUUUUGUUUGCAUUUAAAAUUUGAAAAUUAAUAUGUUAUAACAUCAUAACAUUCAUGCAUGCUUGCCACGUACAUCUCCUCUCCUAUCAACAUAUAUAUAUGAUGUCUAACUCUACUAUUAUAUAUACUUAAUUAUAUUGAAGGAACCAUUCAAAAAAAAAAAUUUAUAUUGAAGGAAAAGAAAGAAACUUAGAACACCGGCUGAGAUGAUGAGAUAAUUCAUGGCUGAGAUGAUGAGGGGAAGGAAGACCAUGAAGGUUGUUUCCCCACACACACAGUAUAAAUGUUAUGCUGUUGGGCUUGGGCAGUACAAAAGUAAUGAAAUUGGGCUGGGGCAGUAAAAAUGUUAUUUUUGCCGUGUCCCAGUAUAAUUGUAAAGUUUUGGUCCAAAAACAGUAUUUUUGUAAAAUUCCCUU